RNAcentral lists this ribosomal RNA (1056 nucleotides) under Erium globosum. RNAcentral describes it as "large subunit ribosomal RNA". The record is from RNAcentral. Lineage: Eukaryota; Metazoa; Arthropoda; Insecta; Hemiptera; Pseudococcidae.
AUAGAAAUAAAAUUUAAUAAAAAUUUUUAUAAAGAAAAAUUUAUUUUUAAUUCUUUUUGUAUUAAGAUUUAAUAAAAAAUUAUUAACAAUUUUUAUAUUUUCUAAAUAAAUUUAAAUAUAAUUUUUUUUAAAAAAAAUAAUAUAAAAAAAUUAUUUUUAAUAAUAUUAUAGUUUAGAUAUUAAAUUCAACUUUUAUUAAAUAAUUUUAUAUUAAAUUAAUUAAAUUAAUAAUUUAUUUUUUAAGAAUAAAUUAAAUAUUUAUAAAGAUAAGUUUAUUAAUAAAAUUAUAUUUAAUUAAUUUUUAAAAUUAAUAAAUUAUAUAAUUAAAAAUUUUAAAUUAAAUUUUUUUAAUAAUUUUUUAUUAAAUAAUAUAAAUUAAAAAAUUAAUAAUAUUUAAUGUAAAAUUAAUUUAAAUAAAUUUAAAUUAAUUUAUAAUAUUAAAAUUAGUAAUUUAAAUAAAUUAUUUAAAUAAAUUCGACAAUAAAUUUUUAUUUGUUUAAUAAAAACAUAAUUUAAAGAAAUUAAUUUUAAAUAUAUUCUGCUCAAUGAAUUUUAUUUUAAAUAGCUGUAGUAUAUUAACUAUACAAAGGUAGCAUAAUAAUUUGUAUUUUAAUUGAAUAAUAGAAUGAAUGAAUAAAUAAAAAAUUUUUUUUAUUAAAUUAAUUUAAUGAAUUUAAUUUUUAAGUUAAAAAGCUUAAAUAAUUUUAAAAGACAAAAAGACCCUAAAAAUUUUAUAUUUAAAUUUUAAAAAUAUUUAUUUGGGGUAAAUUUAAUAGAAUAAUUUAUUAAUAAUUUAAAUUAUAAAUAAAUAUUAAAUUAAAAUUACUUUAGGGAUAACAGGAUAAUUAAAUUUAAUAGAAUAAAUUAAAAAUUUAGAUUGUUACCUCGAUGUUGAAUUAAUUUAACUUUUUAAUAUAGAAAUUAAAUUAGUAAGUUUGUUCAACUUUUAAAAAAUUACAUGAUUUGAGUUAAGAUCGAUGUAAAUUAGAUUGGUUUUUAUCUUUAAAUUUAUUAUAUUAAUUUAGUACGAAAGGAUUAAUUAAUAUUUUAAAAUAU